GACGAACGCUGGCGGCGUGCUUAACACAUGCAAGUCGAACGGAAAGGCCCUGCUUUUGUGGGGUGCUCGAGUGGCGAACGGGUGAGUAACACGUGAGUAACCUGCCCUUGACUUUGGGAUAACUUCAGGAAACUGGGGCUAAUACCGGAUAGGAGCUCCUGCUGCAUGGUGGGGGUUGGAAAGUUUCGGCGGAUGGGGAUGGACUCGCGGCUUAUCAGCUUGUUGGUGGGGUAGUGGCUUACCAAGGCUUUGACGGGUAGCCGGCCUGAGAGGGUGACCGGCCACAAUGGGACUGAGAUACGGCCCAGACUCCUACGGGAGGCAGCAGUGGGGAAUAUUGCACAAUGGGCGGAAGCCUGAUGCAGCAACGCCGCGUGCGGGAUGACGGCCUUCGGGUUGUAAACCGCUUUCGCCUGUGACGAAGCGUGAGUGACGGUAAUGGGUAAAGAAGCACCGGCUAACUACGUG
RNAcentral lists this ribosomal RNA (468 nucleotides) under uncultured bacterium. Its description in RNAcentral is "partial 16S ribosomal RNA". It matches the Rfam family "Bacterial small subunit ribosomal RNA", at positions 28 to 507 of the family's 1533-position model. The record is from RNAcentral.